Non-coding RNA from Ceratotherium simum simum (southern white rhinoceros), 99 nucleotides. The record is from RefSeq and is a predicted model, not a curated record. NCBI's taxonomy places the organism in Eukaryota, Metazoa, Chordata, Mammalia, Perissodactyla, Rhinocerotidae.
ACUACUUUGUUCUUCUUUUUCAAAAUUGUUUUGGCAAUUCUAGGUCCCUUGCAUUCCCAUGGGAAUUUUAGAAUCAGCUUGUCAAUUUCUGUGUGACAU